Molecule: ribosomal RNA, 117 nt
Filed under: Clostridia bacterium
Lineage: Bacteria; Bacillati; Bacillota; Clostridia
Source: RNAcentral
UCCGGUGACAAUGGCGAAAGGGUCCCACCUGUUCCCAUACCGAACACAGAAGUUAAGCCUUUCAGCGCCGAUGGUACUUGGUUGGAGACGACCCGGGAGAGUAGGUCGUUGCCGGAU